This is a long non-coding RNA of Crotalus tigris (Tiger rattlesnake), 4946 nucleotides long. RefSeq lists it as uncharacterized. NCBI's taxonomy places the organism in Eukaryota, Metazoa, Chordata, Lepidosauria, Squamata, Viperidae. The transcript is spliced from 2 exons. The record is from RefSeq and is a predicted model, not a curated record.
AGCUGAAGGAAGUUCUUGGCUGAGAAGCAAAAUGUCUUCAAAAGAAACACAAAGUCCAGUUGCCUCCUGCAAAAAGCACCUUUGGGACAACCAUACCUGGAUGACUUGAGAAUCCCCAUAGACAUUCUGGAAAAACAAAAUGUCAGAGCACAUCUGCCUGCACAGGGAGCCAAAGUAGCGCCUGGGUAUAAAGCAUUCAAGGACAGAACAACCUUGUUAUUCUGAAGCCAUUCCUGGUCCACAAAACAGAGAAGCCCUCUGUGUUCAGAAACUUAAGCAAACUUUGUUUAUUACCAAUUCAUUCAAAAAGCUUGGAUGACACAAGUUCUCUCUGAGAAUUGGUUUAGGGGUUGGUUCAUAUCCCAAGUAAAGAAAUAUUGCUUUGACAACAGAAUUCCUAUUAAAGCAAUCUCCACCUAUAUCUAUAAAGGUAAUUUAUUUACCCCCAAACACUCUCCCUCCCCGCCCCCUGUCUCUUUCAGCUUAAGAUCCAGGAAGCUCUUGCAACAUUUGCUGAAGUCACAGUUGCAGUGGAGAAUGAAGCACUAAUGUUGUGUGACUUUUGGAAAGGCUGCAAGAUCCUCAUUUUAUCAAUAAUCUUGCAGCAGCAUGGCAGAAUGUUGCUGCAAAAUUCAGGCAAGAAAUUUUGAAAAACUGUUUAAAAAUGUGCUGCUCUUUGAAGGAUUUGACCAUGACAAAGAAACCAGGACAUCUUGACCUUUAUGGAAUAAUUUGAUUUAGAGUUUGAUGCUCUCUGCCACCAGAUGGCGCCCUUUGCCCACUUGGUCAGAAGAAACUGCUGAGCCAGCAGGACUGAGCUGUUGUGAGGACUGGCAUUCUGGAAUGGGUGGCCUUUACAGGAGGCCUCCCCCUUCCUGUCUGCACAUGGGAUGAUCCUGCCAGGGGUCAGGAUCACAAGAAAUGCAAGGUUAGGAUCAGGUUGUGACCCAGUCCUUUUCCUAGGUACAAAGCAACUCUGACGCUAGGGCUCUAUAUGACAGUGCCUAGUUGGUCUCUCUCUGGCCCCUCGGACACAAUGCCUGCUAACAGAUGCUUGCUCUUGGGUCAACUUCUGAUUUCCCUUUGCUUUGAUAGUCUACUCGAUGCUAUGUGGUUAUUUCCAUUCCUUGAUGGUUGCAGGAAUCCUCCACCAUCCAGAAUCACUGCCAGUGCUGCUCAGAAGAGCUAUGGGCUUCUCUUGAGACAGACUCGUCAAAAAUUGGGCUAAAUGUUGAAAACUGUUUAGCCUAAUGAAGAGAAGGGUUCAAGAGAUAGCAGCCUUCCAGUUCUUGGAGGGAAGAAGAUGUUGACUUAUUCUCCAAAGCCUCUGAGGCAGGACAAGAAGCAGUGGAUGGAAGCUCGUCAGAGGGAGAUCCAGUCUGGAACUAGAGCAAUUUCCUGAAAGGGAGAACAAUCAGCGGAGCAGCCUGCCUCCUGGAAUUGUGGGUCCCCACCAUUGGAGGUUUUCCAGAAGUUUCGCCCAUCCUGUUCUUUUAAUCAAGCAUCCACAUCUACACACACGGUCUGUUUUAUUGGAGGAUAGGUGCAUGUCAAGCUGCACACAGAGUAACAUGUAGUGAGGACAGAACAGUCCAGUCUUUAUUCAGAAACCUCCUUCUCUGCCUCAGAAAGAUCAAAACUAAAGAAGUAGAAGAAUUGAAACAAAGAUUUACAGAGCAUCUAGAAUAGCACAAAACUAACAGAAUAAAGAAGGCGGCAUUGAAGCUUGUUCCAAAGAAACAGCAACUAUUAAAAGAUGUCAAUAUUGUAAUAUUAGAUAUAAGCAUCAGCUCACUGCAAGAAACCAACCAACCAAUGAACAGCACAGCUGGGAUGCAAAAUCAACAAAGGAAAAAAAAAAAGCCAAACUGCCCCACCAAAAUGGAAGAUCAGGCUGGAAAAUAAGAUCUGCAAGCUGAGAACAGAUGCAAGCAAACUAAAACAGAUGAAAGAAAAGAAGCUGUAGGAGAAGAGCAGGCAGAGCUGGGGAUGGAGUUAAUUGCUGAAUUUCUUUCUCUAUACACAUUUUGAAAUUCCAUGCAACCUAUAAAGUUUUGCUUUAUAAAAUGCAAAGUAUAAUUUUGCAAUUCCAACAUCACAAAAUUAUUUUGUGAGAUGCAAUAAGUAAACCAUCAUUACAACCAUGUUUCUGUAAUGUGCUAAAAUUGAUAUAUUCUGGGGAAAAGUCUUUAAAUUGCUGACUGUAAACAUGUACAUAUAUAGGAAAUUCUUCACCAGAAUACAAGCUGUCUUCAGAAACUCUAGGAACUCUGGUAAAAAGCUAAAGCUAAACAAUUCCACCUUCGUUAUACUAGGUAUAAAUUGAUCUGGAAAAUUGCUUUAGCAAGCUUUCAAGAUUUAGUUACAUUAAAACAAUACAGUAGUUCUUUCUGAGUUUGCUAUAAGGCUUGACAGAGGACAGGACCUCUUAAUUCUGAUUCUGUGUCUGCCUUAUUUCAGAAGGAAAAUUGGGCUGUAACCGUUAAUGAAAGAAGGAGGGAACCGCAUCUGAGGAGAGACUAAAUGAACUGCUUCAAUUUAAUACAAGUCUCCAAGGCCAUAUGGAUUAUAUCCUAGGAUGUGAAAGGAUCUUCUGGAGAGUCUACAGAAGGACCCUUACAGACCAUCUAAUUUAAUCCCGAUAGGUGACAUCCGGCCUCCCUUUGAAAGCUUUUAAGAAGAAAUCAGAGUUUUGAAGUAAUUAAGCAUCUUUAAAUCUUAACUCUCUUCUGAAAAUGUGAUUUACCAUAUUAAAAAUAUUCAAAAAAUAUGGAACAGAUAGAUGCCAUGAUGAAAUAGUGUUUAACUUAACCUAAACUAAAAAGGUUCUUUUCUUAAAAUGGAAAUUAGGAACUUGAGUUUUCCUUGGGAGACAAUGCUGGGGUCAUUGGUAGCUCAUUGACCAGUUGGCAGGGAUGGCCUCUGAAGGGCUUCUGCAGGGGCAAAGUGGGGCACCGAAGGAACCCGCCCAACUGGGGGCUGAACCCCAUCCUCCCUCGCCCUUCCUCAGUCUCACCUCAGGAGCAGCACUGGGAUCUCUUCCCUGCAAGUCACACUCCUUGGCUGCAGUGAGCAAAAGGGAACUGGGCCCCGGAGCCCUGAUUAGAGUCCAGCGUGGGAAAAUCAAAAAGGAGAAGAGCUCUCGCAUUGAAAAUUAAGGUUAGCUGAAGCAAAGGGAACAGGUGGCCUUGAUUCUGACAUACAGUGAUGGGGUUGCUGUUUUUCAUACAGAAAUGCAAGUUUACAUGCUAAAUUACUCUGAGUCAGAGUUGACUGAGAUACUGUCACAAUGGGACAUUUGCACAACAAACCAAAUGUUUGAUUUAAUGUGUUAUCUUAAGCUUCUCAGUCCAUAAAGGCCUUUGCCGUCACAAUCUUGGUAGGAAACCAAAAUCCAGGAGACCAAGAUGGAGAAGAAGCCGCCCCACUGCUCAUGAACCUGGUGCAAUUCAAAAGAAGUCAGAAAAUAUUUCAGAAAUCCUAAAAAACAUGAAGAAUAUUUCAACCUUGCUGAAUGGUUGAGGCUUCUCAUUUUGCAGUCCACGAAUAUAUACUAAAUCUGCUUGCUUAUGGUGUGGAAUUAUGUGGCACCGAAGCUGCUUGCAUUGCUGCAAUGGCACUUGGCUCUACCCAGAGGGUGGCUGAAUAGGGCUGUUUUGCAUUGAGCUCAUAUUUCUCAAGAACCCCAGUCCUGGGAAGGACGGGCAAUUCACCUCCCUCCCUGCCUCUUUCUGUCAUUUACAAGAACCAGAGCAACUGAUGAGUGCCCAGAGUUCUCCCGUGGUAACAUGGGUGGCCAAUAGAUUUAAUAAAUAAAUAAAUAAACCUGUGUCUUUGUCGGGCUCCAAAGUAAUGUAUCCUCAGUUAUUUUAGCUUUAUAGCUUUCUUUGUGGCCUGCCAUUCUGUUGGGAGGGGGGAGGCUUUGCACUGUCUGCUUUGUUGCCUUGUUGUCCUCCCCCCCCCCCCAUGGAAGGUCCCACCCUUAUCUGAGAGGCGGUUUGCACUUGGAGCCGGAAGAAAUCGAAAGCGAGAGAGACCUUGAGCCUGCCAACACUGAUGCCACCUGUGGAUUGGCUCGGAUUCAAAUGGACACUGGGACAUGGGGGGAGAGGAGUAUUGAAUGCUACUUUUAAUAUAUCACUUUGUGGGUUUUUCUCUCAGAUCUCGCCUUGAUUCCCUGCUGUCACUGGCCCCUAAUAAAAGUUUCCUUUUGAAACAAUGCUUGUUUCAAGAGUUCUGCUUUCUUGGGUGGCUUAGCUGAGGUAGGUCCUUAUAUUCUGUUUCUGCCAAUCGGUGAGAUAGGCCUGAACGGGAUCAUUUCCGUCAGAGUCCCUGGAGACCUUUCCUGCCGAAUCAGGGCUUGUUUCUCACAGCUUUUCCAACCAGAUAUCCCUGGGAGGGCGUCCUGCUUGUCAUAAUAAGUGGAGUUCUCCAGCAACCAGCACAAAGAAGCAGGUAAUAUGCAAACACCACGAAUGUCUCUUCCUUAAUUGCUCAUUCUUCUGGCUUGAAUUUUCCACCAUUCAUCUUUGUGUUCGGACGUGCCUUGACUCAAUCCUCCCAGUGUAUCUCCCUGAGGAGCCCAGGAUGGGGACAGUGGAGGACGGUGUCAACUUUAGAAGGAGCGUGGCUACAGCCAUUUUUUCCUUCUCAGUUCCAACUGACACACAGCAUGGAGGGAGGGGAGUUGCCAAGUGUUGCGCUAGACAAAACAGGCUUUCUCUCUUCAACUUUUCUCUCAUGGGAAUCAAGGUCAUUUGCUGCUCCCGAAACUGUAGGCUGGGCGCUUCGUGAAAAGCCCACCAACAAGCUGCGUGGGGAACCGUAGUUGCUUGCAUAGCUUUUAGGGUUGGGAUUUCUUAACUUUGUAUUGGGGAAUUGUUAUGCAUCUCUUCAGACUUUUGAAGUGUGGAUACUUUGUAUCAAUAAACAUGUUCUUUGAGGAA